This 134-nucleotide non-coding RNA is filed under the name marine eukaryotic metagenome. RNAcentral describes it as "glmS glucosamine-6-phosphate activated ribozyme". The stretch from base 16 to 134 matches the Rfam family "glmS glucosamine-6-phosphate activated ribozyme aptamer", at positions 16 to 149 of the family's 167-position model. Rfam says of the family: This entry contains a glucosamine-6-phosphate activated ribozyme that is found in the mRNA for GlmS. GlmS is an enzyme that uses fructose-6-phosphate and glutamine to generate glucosamine-6-phosphate. The record is from RNAcentral.
CGCCCGGGCGGCGGCCCCGAGGCGGGAGUUGACGAGGUCCGGGUUCAUCGAAGUCUUCGGCGGAUGCCCGGCGGCCGUGUCGCAGGCCGGAUACAGGCUUCCGGCAAAACCGCCCGGCGACGGGCGGGACAAAC